This 388-nucleotide long non-coding RNA is filed under the name Drosophila guanche. Lineage: Eukaryota; Metazoa; Arthropoda; Insecta; Diptera; Drosophilidae. The record is from RNAcentral.
AAACAGAACCAAACAGGCAACGUCUGUUAAUUUAUUAAUACAAUUGAUUUAUGCACUGAUGAUGAUUAAGGGGUUGCCCUACCGUCUCUGCCUUUGGGAUUGUGGCCAGUCCCAGACAGACGUCAAAACCGUUGAGAGGCGCUCGGCCAGGUCUUCCAACCAGUCAGCGCAUCCUAAUCUCAUUAACUUUGCCACCUAACAGAUGGACACAACCGAGUGAACUUCAAUAGUGGGGCAAGGGGCAGCUGCAGCACUCCAAAGUGCUAAACUUAAACUAAAGUUUAAUGACCACAAAAUCCCAUCAGGGCCCUCCACGACCAGCAGCUCCUUUUUGACCAAUUACGAACGCAUUUCAGUUGAACCGCUAAUCGGUUUCCACUGCCCCACC